GAUUAAGAUGGUUUUGUACAU
This 21-nucleotide non-coding RNA is filed under the name Arabidopsis thaliana (thale cress). Lineage: Eukaryota; Viridiplantae; Streptophyta; Magnoliopsida; Brassicales; Brassicaceae. The record is from RNAcentral.